Molecule: transfer RNA, 82 nt
Filed under: Saprospiraceae bacterium
Lineage: Bacteria; Pseudomonadati; Bacteroidota; Saprospiria; Saprospirales; Saprospiraceae
Description: tRNA-Leu
Rfam family: tRNA
About the family: Transfer RNA (tRNA) molecules are approximately 80 nucleotides in length.
Source: RNAcentral
GCCCGGGUGGUGGAAUUGGUAGACACGUACGUUUGAGGGGCGUAUGCCGAAAGGUGUGCAGGUUCAAAUCCUGUCCCGGGCA